Molecule: non-coding RNA, 32 nt
Filed under: Geobacter sulfurreducens PCA
Lineage: Bacteria; Pseudomonadati; Thermodesulfobacteriota; Desulfuromonadia; Geobacterales; Geobacteraceae
Source: RNAcentral
GGCGAGGUUAGGCGGAGGCUGGAGAGCAUCGC